RNAcentral lists this ribosomal RNA (546 nucleotides) under uncultured bacterium. RNAcentral describes it as "bacterial SSU rRNA". It matches the Rfam family "Bacterial small subunit ribosomal RNA", at positions 64 to 513 of the family's 1533-position model. The record is from RNAcentral.
UUGGCAUUCAGGGGGACCGCAGGGUAACCGGCAGACGAGAUAGUAUAAAAUAGGUAACGAACCCAAAAGUCAGGAAUAGCUUGUCGAAAGACAAGGUAAUACUUGAUGGCCCCGAGCUCCAACUUUGAAAUGGUCUUUUGUGCGAACUGUAAACCCGGGCGCCAACUUUACAUAAAGUGUUUAGUUAGGUAGCAGGAUUUAUUUCCACAUUAGUUAAUUGAAAAAUUACAGACGAUUUUAAAGUUGGUGCCCGGGUAAAGAUUUAUCGCUUUUGGAUCGGCCUGUUCGGUAUCAGCUAGUUGGUAGGGUAAUGGCCUACCAAGGCAAUGACGCCUAGGGGAAGUGAGAGCUUGAUCCCCAUCGAUGGAACUGAGACACGGUCCAUACACCUACGGGUGGCUGCAGUCGAGAAUAUUCGACAAUGGAGGAAACUCUGAUCGAGCGACGCCGCGUGCAGGAAGAAGUGCUUCGGUAUGUAAACUGCUUUUGUAGACUAGUAAUUUUUGAACAGUCUAAGAAUAAGAGGUUGCUAAACUCGUGUCCGUG